RNAcentral lists this long non-coding RNA (933 nucleotides) under Homo sapiens (human). RNAcentral describes it as "HSALNT0040388". The record is from RNAcentral. Lineage: Eukaryota; Metazoa; Chordata; Mammalia; Primates; Hominidae.
CAGAAAAAGCUGGGAAAACAUGAGCACGAAAGACUACAGAAUAGCAUUUGUUCAAAGAAGCUACCACAGAGCAAACACAUAGCAGCCGACAAGUUAUGUUGGGCCCCAUCAGAAAUAAAGAUCUCUGGGCUUGCUAUUGGUGUUGCAGCUGAUGAGAUAUGAAAGCCUUGUGAGUCUGAGUGAGGGUUCAGCCUGGCCAAAAGGCUGGAGAAGACCAGAAGGUGUUGGAAGAGAGAGGAAAGAUGUGGCUACCAGAGAGAGAAAACCCAUGCAGGAAGACUUCAUGAUGUGCAAAUUGGUCAUCAUCUUCUUCCCUGCCUAAAACUUUAUGGACAUUUUAUUACUCAUCAAACCUUUCAAGGUUGGAUAUUUGGGAUGAUAGGGUAAAGUUACCACAUGCUAGGUUUAACCUGAAGAUGGGCAAAACACAAGAACAGACACGUGGUACAGUAUGGUGAGGCCAGUGGAUCAGGAGAAGACUGCCAUAGAAAAGAUAGUUGUUACUCAUAGUUCCCAAGAGGAGGGAGAACAACCCACCACCGAGGUCCACAUGAGGAAGCACCAGGGCCAAUGAGAAGGCAGAGGAAGCAGGAGGAAAAUGUGGGUAAGAGCUUUUGUUUUGGCUUUCAUGGGAAGAAAUGGGCAGUGCACCCACAGGCUGAACAUGAGGAUUUUACUUGUUAAAGACUCAGCGCCAACAAUCACCCUACUACUGUUGUAGCUAUUAAGAAAUGUUACAAAAAGAGCAAGACUGGCUCUUUCAGGGUUCACAGUGAAAUGCUUUAGUAUUCCUUCAUCCUGUGCAUUCUCUGUUGAAUUUGCUCCAUGUGGAGGCCUCCAAUUAGCAUAAUACAGGAUGCUAUUUUCCAUUCAUAUCUAUGAACAAAGGCAGAACCUGGUUCUUCAGAUUUAAAUUUUGCUGCCUCUGCUGAC